ACGCGUCCCACCGGAGCAGAUUUAAGAAGAUGAACAAUGUGCUAAGAGGACAGAUGAGAUGACAAGCUGACAGCGUCUAAUGUUAGUAAACAUCUGCCAGCUGCUGUCUUGUGUUAUGAGCAUGCGCAGAUCUGCCCUCUGAUGGUGCCCGAGGCCACGAGUAACCGCUGCAGGGACACUUUCUAAAUCACGAAACUCCUAAGUACGGUUACGGUUAGAGUGCAGGAGUUGUUAAUGGCCCGCGUUGCUUCAAUUGGUUUCUAAAUGCUUAUGAGCGAGGGUCCAACUGUGCGCUUAAUGAACAGCUUACCAGCACAGCCCUUGGAUUAGCCGUCCUAUAUGGAAAAGAAUGAACAUCGCUUACAUCUCAUUUUGUAUUUGAUGGAAGAAAGAAAAUCAAAAGGGGUUCUGGAAUGGCAUGGAGGGUCUCCUCUGAACAUAUACUUUGAUUAUGGGACAGUGUUGAACUCACCAUGUGCCUGGGCCGCAGAACUGUGAGAGUAGCCCAGGGCGAGAAGCGCCGUCUCUACCAGCUGAGUGAAAAGGAUGUCCUUCCUGACCAGCACAAAUUCGGCAUGUUCCUCCCGACUCUCACCUUCUGAGAUCAUCCCUCCAUCCACCUGCUCCACCACACAGAAGACUGGAAUCAUCAGACCUGCAGAAGAAUGUGAAAAAAAAUGAAAAAAUGUCCAAGAGAUUGAGAGUUUAACUGAAUUAAGGCUUCCAGUUCAGAAUGCUCUUAUGGAGUGAAUUACAGGCCAGGGGCCGGUGCCAAUUCAAUUCCCGAUUUAUUAAGACAUGGAUGGAUGUAAGUGUCUUACCUCCGAGAGGUCUCUGAGGGGCUCCAUUGUGGCGACUGCGAUGUCCGGUGGGACUGCCAUUGAGUUCUAGCCGUCCCAUCUUCGGUGGUGGCCCACCAA
Long non-coding RNA from Misgurnus anguillicaudatus (oriental weatherfish), 920 nucleotides. RefSeq lists it as uncharacterized. The record is from RefSeq and is a predicted model, not a curated record. Lineage: Eukaryota; Metazoa; Chordata; Actinopteri; Cypriniformes; Cobitidae.